AAAGUACUCCCUCUGUCCCAAAAUUCUUGUCUUAGAUUUGUCUUGAUACGGAUGUAUUCUGUAUCUAGACAAAUCUAAGAUAAGAAAUUUGGGACAGAGGGACUAGUUG
This is a non-coding RNA of Triticum aestivum (bread wheat), 109 nucleotides long. NCBI's taxonomy places the organism in Eukaryota, Viridiplantae, Streptophyta, Magnoliopsida, Poales, Poaceae. The record is from Rfam.